GAAAAAGUAAUUAAAAAAUAAUUUUAUGCUGUCAAUAUAAAUUUACCUAAUUAUUAGGUCUUUUUCU
This 67-nucleotide transfer RNA is filed under the name Neohydatothrips samayunkur. RNAcentral's name for it is "tRNA-Asp". The record is from RNAcentral. Lineage: Eukaryota; Metazoa; Arthropoda; Insecta; Thysanoptera; Thripidae.